This 732-nucleotide ribosomal RNA is filed under the name uncultured rumen protozoa. Its description in RNAcentral is "bacterial SSU rRNA". The stretch from base 1 to 566 matches the Rfam family "Eukaryotic small subunit ribosomal RNA", at positions 572 to 1831 of the family's 1831-position model. The record is from RNAcentral.
UGUCUUCUCGCGAAGGUCAGAUUGGGUACCUGGAGGGGGGAGCGGUAUUCCAGCUCUAAUAGCGUAUAUUAAAGUUGCUGCAGUUAAAAAGCUCGUAGUUGGAUUUCAAGGACUGUAAACCUUUCGGGGAAUACAUCCUACUAGUCUUCGGACUGUUACUGUGAGAAAAUUAGAGUGUUUCAAGCAGGCUUUCGCAAGAAUACAUUAGCAUGGAAUAACGAAUGUAUUUAGAAUCUUGGUUAAUUCUAAAUUACGGUUAAUAGAGACAGCAAGGGGGCAAUAGUAUUUAAUUGUCACAUGUGAAAUUCUUGGAUUUGUUGAGGACUACCGUAUGCGAAAGCAUUUGCCAAGGAUGUUUUCAUUAAUCAAGGACGAAAGAUAGGGGAUCAUAUACUAUCAGAUACUGUCGUAGUCCUAUCUAUAAACUAUGCCGACUAGGGAUUGGAGUGGGCAUACACCAUUUCAGUACCUUAUGAGAAUCAAAGUCUUUGGGUUCUGGGGGAGUAUGUCGCAGACUGAACUUAAGAAUGACGAGCACACAGGAUGAGCUGCGCUAUUGACCACCGGGACUACAGUCAACAGAGAUGAGAUGAGCUUCUGAUCUGUGGCUGCUUAUUGGAGAUGCUGUAUCGAACAGACACGCAAUCGUCAAUUUAGCUAACUGAUGAGCAUGGCUACAGUAGUUAAGAUCACAUGUCAGCUGCUAGUCAAGUCAUCAGUCAGCUUGUCGCA